GAGGAAUAAGCAUCGGCUAACUCCGUGCCAGCAGCCGCGGUAAUACGGGGGAUGCAAGCGUUAUCCGGAAUCAUUGGGCGUAAAGCGCCUGUAGGUUGUUUAAUAAGUCUGUUGUUAAAGACUAGGGCUCAACCCUAGAAAAGCAAUGGAAACUACUAGACUAGAGUAUGGCAGGGGUAGAGGGAAUUUCUAGUGUAGCGGUGAAAUGCGUAGAUAUUAGAAAGAACACCGGUGGCGAAAGCGCUCUACUGGACCAUUACUGACACUCAGAGGCGAAAGCUAGGGUAGCAAAAGGGAUUAGAUACCCCUGUAGUCCUAGCCGUAAACGAUGGAUACUAGAUGUUGUAUUUAUUUUACAGUAUCGUAGCUAACGCGUUAAGUAUCCCGCCUGGGGAGUACGCUCGCAAGGGUGAAACUCAAAGGAAUUGACGGGGGCCCGCACAAGCGGUGGAGCAUGUGGUUUAAUUCGAUGCAACGCGAAGAACCUUACCAGGGCUUGACAUACUGCGAAUCUCUUUGAAAGGAGAGAGUGCCUUCGGGAAUGCAGAUACAGGUGGUGCAUGGCUGUCGUCAGCUCGUGUCGUGAGAUGUUGGGUUAAGUCCCGCAACGAGCGCAACCCUUGUUUUUAGUUACCAACUUGUUGGGUUUUCUAGAAAGACUGCCGGUGACAAACCGGAGGAAGGUGAGGAUGACGUCAAGUCAGCAUGCCCCUUAUGUCCUGGGCUACACACGUGCUACAAUGGUUAGGACAAAGAGUCGCAAGUUUGCAAAAACAAGCUAAUCUCAUAAACCUAACCUAAGUUCAGAUUGUAGGCUGCAACUCGCCUACGUGAAG
Molecule: ribosomal RNA, 836 nt
Filed under: Haptophyta environmental samples
Lineage: Eukaryota; Haptophyta
Description: bacterial SSU rRNA
Rfam family: Bacterial small subunit ribosomal RNA
Source: RNAcentral